GACUUGGUAGCUUAGUUGGUAAAGCACUCGUCUAGCUUACAAGAAUCUUAGGUUCGAAUCCUACCUGAGCA
RNAcentral lists this transfer RNA (71 nucleotides) under Aedes aegypti (yellow fever mosquito). It matches the Rfam family "tRNA". From Rfam's summary of the family: Transfer RNA (tRNA) molecules are approximately 80 nucleotides in length. Their secondary structure includes four short double-helical elements and three loops (D, anti-codon, and T loops). Further hydrogen bonds mediate the characteristic L-shaped molecular structure. tRNAs have two regions of fundamental functional importance: the anti-codon, which is responsible for specific mRNA codon recognition, and the 3' end, to which the tRNAs corresponding amino acid is attached (by aminoacyl-tRNA synthetases). tRNAs cope with the degeneracy of the genetic code in two manners: having more than one tRNA (with a specific anti-codon) for a particular amino acid; and 'wobble' base-pairing, i.e. permitting non-standard base-pairing at the 3rd anti-codon position. Lineage: Eukaryota; Metazoa; Arthropoda; Insecta; Diptera; Culicidae. The record is from Rfam by way of RNAcentral.